Molecule: ribosomal RNA, 503 nt
Filed under: uncultured Bacteroidota bacterium
Lineage: Bacteria; Pseudomonadati; Bacteroidota
Description: bacterial SSU rRNA
Rfam family: Bacterial small subunit ribosomal RNA
Source: RNAcentral
GAUGAGCAUGCGUCCUAUUAGCUAGUUGGUAAGGUAACGGCUUACCAAGGCUACGAUAGGUAGGGGUCCCGAGAGGGAGAUCCCCCACACUGGUACUGAGACACGGACCAGACUCCUACGGGAGGCAGCAGUGGGGAAUAUUGGACAAUGGGCGCAAGCCUGAUCCAGCCAUGCCGCGUGCAGGAAGACGCAUCUAUGGUGUGUAAACUGCUUUUGUACGGGAAGAAACACCCCCUCGUGAGGGGGCUUGACGGUACCGUAAGAAUAAGGAUCGGCUAACUCCGUGCCAGCAGCCGCGGUAAUACGGAGGAUCCAAGCGUUAUCCGGAAUCAUUGGGUUUAAAGGGUCCGUAGGCGGUUUGAUAAGUCAGUGGUGAAAGCCCAUCGCUCAACGAUGGAACGGCCAUUGAUACUGUCAGACUUGAAUUACUGGGAAGUAACUAGAAUAUGUAGUGUAGCGGUGAAAUGCUUAGAUAUUACAUGGAAUACCAAUUGCGAAGGCAG